Molecule: non-coding RNA, 918 nt
Filed under: Hypsiscopus plumbea (rice paddy snake)
Lineage: Eukaryota; Metazoa; Chordata; Lepidosauria; Squamata; Homalopsidae
Source: RNAcentral
GGUUUUGGUUUAAACCUCCCAUUGUUUUCACCCAAUACCAAAAUGCAAGCCUCCCCCAUACAGGGAAAUAGCCUACCAAUAACCCCCAGGGCAGGUUUCAGGUGUAACCCCCCAAAACGCCAAGCAACUAGCCCCCCCCCCAGGGGCCUGCAGCAGUACUUAAAUUUGGGCCAAAAGGGGAAGCUUGACCUAAAAAUGGGUUACUUAGGGCCGGUUAAUUUUGGGCCAGGGACCGGGGUUAUACGACAGGCCCAAAAAAAUGUUACCGGGGUAAAGCCCGACUUAAAAAAAAUUACUAAAUUAGGGCUGGAAAAAAGGUGGGGUGUAAAAAACCAAAAACUAAAAAAAACCCCCCCCCCCUAAUAAAAAACUACUUCAACUCGUGAAAGCAGGGACACAAACUAAGAUUAGAUACCUUACUAUGCCCCGCCGUAACACAGCAAUUAAACAACCAAUUGCUCGCCAAAUAACUACGAGUAAAAACUUAAAAUUUAAAAGACUUGACGGUACUUCACAACAACCUAGAGGAGCCUGUCCAAUAACCGAUAAUCCACGAUUAACCCAACCCGUUUUUGCCUACAGUCUAUAUACCGCCGUCGCCAGCUUACCUUGUGAAAGAAACAAAGCAAGCUAGAUAGUACCACACUAAUACGACAGGUCGAGGUGUAACUUAUAAGCGGGACAAAGAUGGGCUACAUUUUCUCAACCAGAAAAAACACGAAUAUAGCAUGAAACAGCAACCUGAAGGCGGAUUUAGCAGUAAGACAAAAAUAGAACGUUUAUCUGAAAUUAACGCAAUGAAGUGCGUACACACCGCCCGUCACCCCUGUAGAUAUCCACAAACAUCCAUAAACACAUAACAUUCUAUAAGCAGGGUAAGUCGUAACAUGGUAAGCGUACUGGAAAGUGUGCUUAGAU